RNAcentral lists this ribosomal RNA (406 nucleotides) under uncultured bacterium. RNAcentral describes it as "bacterial SSU rRNA". It matches the Rfam family "Bacterial small subunit ribosomal RNA", at positions 28 to 427 of the family's 1533-position model. The record is from RNAcentral.
GAUGAACGCUAGCGGCAGGCUUAACACAUGCAAGUCGAGGGGCAGCAUGAGGGUUAGCAAUAACCUUUGAUGGCGACCGGCGCAAGGGUGCGUAACGCGUGAGCAACUUGCCCGUUUCUGGGGAAUAACCGGUGGAAACGCCGACUAAUACCCCAUGGCAUCAGAUUGAGGCAUCUUAAUUUGAUUAAAGAAUUUCGGAAACGGAUAGGCUCGCGUGACAUUAGCUAGAUGGCGGGUAACGGCCCACCAUGGCUACGAUGUCUAGGGGUUCUGAGAGGAAGGUCCCCCANACUGGAACUGAGACACGGUCCAGACUCCUACGGGAGGCAGCAGUGAGGAAUAUUGGUCAAUGGUCUGACGACUGAACCAGCCAUGCCGCGUGAAGGUCACGGCCCUAUGGGGUCUU